CGAAAGAUGGUGAACUAUGCCUGGCCAGGAUGAAGCCAGAGGAAACUCUGGUGGAGGUCCGUAGCGAUUCUGACGUGCAAAUCGAUCGUCAGAGCUGGGUAUAGGGGCGAAAGACUAAUCGAACCAUCUAGUAGCUGGUUCCCUCCGAAGUUUCCCUCAGGAUAGCUGGUACUCAUUCGAAUGAAUGCCAUCCGGUAAAGCGAAUGAUUAGAGGCCUUGGGGACGAAACGUCCUCAACCUAUUCUCAAACUUUAAAUGGGUGGGAUGCCAAGCUUGCUUAAAAACGGAGUCAGCAAUGUCUCCGAGCUGAAGCUUUGGCGUUACAUCAGAGUACCUAGUGGGCCACUUUU
Molecule: ribosomal RNA, 350 nt
Filed under: Sadayoshia acropora
Lineage: Eukaryota; Metazoa; Arthropoda; Malacostraca; Decapoda; Munididae
Description: partial large subunit ribosomal RNA
Rfam family: Eukaryotic large subunit ribosomal RNA
Source: RNAcentral